AUGCUUACGUGGCAGGGGAGAUACUAUGAUUACUAUAGUGGCUCUCCCAGUGAGAGACUCAUUCAUUGCACUCUAGGUUUUCUGAUCCCUGUGAUUUCCCCAUACGUGGGAAACUUGACUGCAUAAUUUGUGGUAGUGGAGAACUGCAUCCAUGCUCUCCCCUG
Erpetoichthys calabaricus (reedfish) is the source of this 164-nucleotide small nuclear RNA. Its record names the gene U1. It matches the Rfam family "U1 spliceosomal RNA". Rfam says of the family: U1 is a small nuclear RNA (snRNA) component of the spliceosome (involved in pre-mRNA splicing). Its 5' end forms complementary base pairs with the 5' splice junction, thus defining the 5' donor site of an intron. The record is from Ensembl. NCBI's taxonomy places the organism in Eukaryota, Metazoa, Chordata, Cladistia, Polypteriformes, Polypteridae.